UGCCAGCAGCCGCGGUAAUACGGAGGGUGCGAGCGUUAAUCGGAAUUACUGGGCGUAAAGAGUACGUAGGCGGCUUUAUAAGUCGGGUGUGAAAGCCCUGAGCUUAACUCAGGAACUGCAUUCGAUACUGUAUCGCUAGAGUUUAUUAGAGGAUAGCGGAAUUCCAGGUGUAGCGGUGAAAUGCGUAGAUAUCUGGAGGAACACCAAUGGCGAAGGCAGCUAUCUGGGAUACAACUGACGCUGAGGUACGAAAGCAUGGGUAGCGAAGAGGAUUAGAUA
This 279-nucleotide ribosomal RNA is filed under the name uncultured bacterium. RNAcentral's name for it is "partial 16S ribosomal RNA". It matches the Rfam family "Bacterial small subunit ribosomal RNA", at positions 506 to 784 of the family's 1533-position model. The record is from RNAcentral.